Molecule: ribosomal RNA, 460 nt
Filed under: uncultured bacterium
Lineage: Bacteria
Description: partial 16S ribosomal RNA
Rfam family: Bacterial small subunit ribosomal RNA
Source: RNAcentral
CCUACGGGAGGCAGCAGUGAGGAAUAUUGGUCAAUGGACGAGAGUCUGAACCAGCCAAGUAGCGUGAAGGAUGACUGCCCUAUGGGUUGUAAACUUCUUUUAUAUGGGAAUAAAAUGUUCCACGUGUGGGUUUUUGUAUGUACCAUAUGAAUAAGGAUCGGCUAACUCCGUGCCAGCAGCCGCGGUAAUACGGAGGAUCCGAGCGUUAUCCGGAUUUAUUGGGUUUAAAGGGAGCGUAAGUGGAUUGUUAAGUCAGUUGUGAAAGUUUGCGGCUCAACCGUAAAAUUGCAGUUGAAACUGGCAGUCUUGAGUACAGUAGAGGUGGGCGGAAUUCGUGGUGUAGCGGUGAAAUGCUUAGAUAUCACGAAGAACUCCGAUUGCGAAGGCAGCUCACUGGACUGCAACUGACACUGAGGCUCGAAAGUGUGGGUAUCAAACAGGAUUAGAUACCCCAGUAGUC